RNAcentral lists this ribosomal RNA (253 nucleotides) under uncultured bacterium. RNAcentral's name for it is "partial 16S ribosomal RNA". It matches the Rfam family "Bacterial small subunit ribosomal RNA", at positions 524 to 776 of the family's 1533-position model. The record is from RNAcentral.
UACGUAGGGUGCAAGCGUUGUCCGGAAUUAUUGGGCGUAAAGAGCUCGUAGGCGGUCUGUCGCGUCGAAUGUGAAAACCCGGGGCUCAACCCCGGGCCUGCAUUCGAUACGGGCAGACUAGAGUUCGGUAGGGGAGUCUGGAAUUCCUGGUGUAGCGGUGAAAUGCGCAGAUAUCAGGAGGAACACCCGUGGCGAAGGCGGCACUCUGGAUCGGCCCUGACGCUGAGGCGCGAAAGCGUGGGGAGCGAACGGG